Molecule: ribosomal RNA, 499 nt
Filed under: uncultured Sphingobacteriales bacterium
Lineage: Bacteria; Pseudomonadati; Bacteroidota; Sphingobacteriia; Sphingobacteriales
Description: bacterial SSU rRNA
Rfam family: Bacterial small subunit ribosomal RNA
Source: RNAcentral
CCUUGCCAGCCCGCUCAGAACUUAAGGAAUUGACGGGGCCGCACAAGCGGAGGAGCAUGUGGUUUAAUUCGAUGAUACGCGAGGAACCGUUACCUGGGCUCGAACGUAAGAUGACUGUAGGUGAAAGCUUACAUCUCUUCGGAGCAUUUUACGAGGUGCUGCAUGGUUGUCGUCAGCUCGUGCCGUGAGGUGUCGGGUUAAGUCCCAUAACGAGCGCAACCCUACCUUUAGUUGCCAUCAGGUAAUGCUGGGGACUCUAAAGGAACUGCCUACGCAAGUAGUGAGGAAGGCGGGGAUGACGUCAAAUCAGCACGGCCCUUACGUCCAGGGCUACACACGUGCUACAAUGGCCGAUACAGAGGGCAGCUACCUGGUGACAGGAUGCAAAUCUCCAAAGUCGGUCUCAGUUCGGAUCGGAGUCUGCAACCCGACUCCGUGAAGUUGGAUUCGCUAGUAAUCGCGCAUCAGCCAUGGCGCGGUGAAUACGUUCCCGGGCCUU